Centruroides sculpturatus (bark scorpion) is the source of this 238-nucleotide long non-coding RNA. RefSeq lists it as uncharacterized. The transcript is spliced from 2 exons. Lineage: Eukaryota; Metazoa; Arthropoda; Arachnida; Scorpiones; Buthidae. The record is from RefSeq and is a predicted model, not a curated record.
CAUUCCAUUUAUGUUGCUGAUUAUCAUGGUAACAAUAUGAGGAGACUAUUACAAGAUGAAAAUUUUUCAACGUAUUUUUCUAUUGCUGUACAUGAAAAUAAUUUAUUUUGGACAGAAAGACUGAAACAUUUUGUUGAAAAGAUUGAUAGAUGGAAACUUAAAGAAGUUGAUUUUUUAACAGCAACAUAUCCAGACAUUUAUGAUGUUCGCAUUCUUCAUUCAUCACAUCAACCACCAG